This 254-nucleotide ribosomal RNA is filed under the name uncultured bacterium. Its description in RNAcentral is "partial 16S ribosomal RNA". It matches the Rfam family "Bacterial small subunit ribosomal RNA", at positions 524 to 776 of the family's 1533-position model. The record is from RNAcentral.
UACGUAGGGUGCGAGCGUUGUCCGGAAUUAUUGGGCGUAAAGAGCUCGUAGGCGGUGUGUCACGUCGUUCGUGAAAACCUGCAGCUUAACUGUGGGCGUGCGGUCGAUACGGGCAUCACUGGAGUUCGGCAGGGGAGACUGGAAUUCCUGGUGUAGCGGUGAAAUGCGCAGAUAUCAGGAGGAACACCGGUGGCGAAGGCGGGUCUCUGGGCCGAUACUGACGCUGAGGGACGAAAGCUAGGGGAGCGAAUGGG